ACCUUAUAUAGAUGUAGUGACGCAAGACAGUGACGCAUCUCCCUGUAAGGUGGUGUUUAUAUAGAAGUAUCAGUGAUAAGUUCUAUUGUGUGGCUUUUGAGUCGAAAUAGAAUGAGCUGAUAUGGAAUAGGUUAACUGUAAGACCUUGAGUUGAAAUACUCUAAAAUUGACCUAGAAAUGAAAUUUCUCGAAUUUCCUAAUUUCUAGUUACAGUAAG
Molecule: non-coding RNA, 217 nt
Submitted as: unclassified sequences
Source: Rfam